ACAUGCAAGUCGAGCGGAGUUGAUCGACGGAAGCCUUCGGGCGGAAGAUGAUUAACUUAGCGGCGGAUGGGUGAGUAACGCGUGGGCAACCUGCCUCGAAGACCGGGAUAACAGUUCGAAAGGGCUGCUAAUACCGGAUGUGGUCAAGUGUCAGCAUGGGCAUUUGAUUAAAGGGGAAACCCGUUUCGAGAUGGGCCCGCGUCCUAUCAGCUAGUUGGUGAGGUAAAGGCUCACCAAGGCAAUGACGGGUAGCCGGCCUGAGAGGGUGACCGGCCACACUGGAACUGAGACACGGUCCAGACUCCUACGGGGGGCAGCAGUGGGGAAUCUUCCACAAUGGGCGAAAGCCUGAUGGAGCGACGCCGCGUGAGCGAAGAAGGCCUUCGGGUUGUAAAGCUCUGUCUGGAGGGACGAAGAAAGUGACGGUACCUCCGGAGGAAGCCACGGCUAACUACGUGCCAGCAGCCGCGGUAAUACGUAGGUGGCGAGCGUUGUCCGGAAUCACUGGGCGUAAAGGGCGCGCAGGCGGCGUGUCAAGUCGGACGUGAAAACCCCUGGCUCAACUGGGGGAUGUCGUUCGAAACUGACAUGCUUGAGUG
RNAcentral lists this ribosomal RNA (599 nucleotides) under uncultured bacterium. RNAcentral's name for it is "bacterial SSU rRNA". It matches the Rfam family "Bacterial small subunit ribosomal RNA", at positions 53 to 648 of the family's 1533-position model. The record is from RNAcentral.